RNAcentral lists this ribosomal RNA (489 nucleotides) under uncultured bacterium. RNAcentral describes it as "partial 16S ribosomal RNA". It matches the Rfam family "Bacterial small subunit ribosomal RNA", at positions 30 to 506 of the family's 1533-position model. The record is from RNAcentral.
AUUGAACGCUGGCGGCAGGCCUAACACAUGCAAGUCGAACGGUAACAGGAAGAAGCUUGCUUCUUUGCUGACGAGUGGCGGACGGGUGAGUAAUGUCUGGGAAACUGCCUGAUGGAGGGGGAUAACUACUGGAAACGGUAGCUAAUACCGCAUAACGUCGCAAGACCAAAAAGGGGGACCUUCGGGCCUCUUGCCAUCGGAUGUGCCCAGAUGGGAUUAGCUAGUAGGUGGGGUAACGGCUCACCUAGGCGACGAUCCCUAGCUGGUCUGAGAGGAUGACCAGCCACACUGGAACUGAGACACGGGCCAGACUCCUACGGGAGGCAGCAGUGGGGAAUAUUGCACAAUGGGCGCAAGCCUGAUGCAGCCAUGCCGCGUGUAUGAAGAAGGCCUUCGGGUUGUAAAGUACUUUCAGCGGGGAGGAAGGGAGUAAAGUUAAUACCUUUGCUCAUUGACGUUACCCGCAGAAGAAGCACCGGCUAACUCCGU